Musca domestica (house fly) is the source of this 11901-nucleotide long non-coding RNA. RefSeq annotates it as single-stranded DNA-binding protein 3. The record is from RefSeq and is a predicted model, not a curated record. The transcript is spliced from 2 exons. NCBI's taxonomy places the organism in Eukaryota, Metazoa, Arthropoda, Insecta, Diptera, Muscidae.
UUUUUUUGUCGAGUAUUGUCUCCAUACGUCGUCGUUCGACCAUACGCUAGCAAACGCGAGACGCACUUGUAGCGAAAAUUACACCAAAUAAUUGUCGGAUUUUCUCUCGAAUAAUCAAAGAAAAAGGAAAGAAUUAAAAAAAAUCUAGCAAAAUAUUGUUUAAACAAAUUUGUGUAUGUGUAAAAGCCGUACGGCACGGUGGAAAAAAUACAUAAAAAAGAGGAGCAUACCACAUACAGUGCUAACGUAUAGAUACAAAGAAAUAAAAUAAAAGAAAAAAUAGUGGCCAACAUUGAUAAAAAUGAUCAAUGGAAACAUGUAAAAAUGCAAUUGGAUCUGAAAAAUAUCGAUGAAAAUUUCACAUUGAAGCAAGAAAAAAAUUUUAAUGUGAUUUAUCGAGAAGAAGACGACGAAGAAGAAAAGAAGAAUAAAAAAAUAUCAUCAGUGGUGGUGAAGGCGACGACGAGAAAAAACAAAUACACAACAAAAACAAUAGCAAUAGCAGCAACACCAACGAAGAAGACAACGACGAUAAAUGUGGCAGCCGCAGUAGCAGUGCUGAGAAAUUGACGAAAUCAACUGUGAGUGUCGUGUUGGUCUUUGCGAAACGUCGUACAACAACAACAAGAACAACAACAGCAGCAGCAAAAUCAUCAUACACCAAACAAAACGGGGGGAGAGAAUUCGUGUGAGUGCGAAAGAGAGAGAAAAUCAAUACUAGCAGAGCGUGCUCUGUCAAGAGUGGCAAGAGUAUAGCAGGCGGCAGCAACAAUAAUAACAACAAACACAUCAAGCUACCAAAAAAAAAAAACGAAUGAGGUGGUUGUUCAGCGCAAACGAACGAACUCAACACACCAGUCAGUCAGUCGAAGAAGAAGAAGCAGCAGCAGUACCAUCAAUACACAACACAGUCCCACAAGCAUACAAACACACGGACACACACCUCUACAUACUGUCAUCAUCAACGUCGCAAGGCAACGCAACCAGACCAACAGCAACACCACCAACAACAACCAUAAUAUAAUAAAGUACCACACCGACUGCAGCAGAGAAGAGACGUCAGUCGUCGUCGUCGCAGCAGCAAUAACAAAACCAACAACAGCAGCAACAGUAAUAAUAAUAAAAAAGCAAAAAAGAAACGGUAAAACGAAGAAGAAGCACCAACCAACAGCAGCAAGCAGCAGAUACAAGAAGACAAAUAUGAACUAAAUUUUGAUGGUAUUAGUCGUCCGUCGUGUAUAAAUCAGAUGAGAGGAGGAUAUAGGUGAAAGAAGAAACUCACGCACACACAAGGAAACCCUCAAACAAAAAUCAAUUGGUGUUUCGGUGUUUCUGUUAUUUUUUUUCGUGUGUUAAGAUUUAAUUCAACAACUGAAACUGAACCGAACUCUCGGCUGAAUCGCAAAAGGAGAAGAAGAAGAAGAAAACUCAACUCUAGUUGAAACAGAAAACACAAUUUUAAUAAAAGUUAACGCCGCGUAAACACACCACCACCAAAAUUUUAAUAAUGAAUGGAGUCGCAAAAAUACACAAAAAUAGUUGAAGUGAGAAGACACCACAACGACGGCGAGCAGAAACCAAACGUUGAGAAGAAAGAUAUACAGCACACACAGAGAAACAAGGGAAUAAAAUAAAAACCGACGACGAACAGUGGAAAACCCGAAAGAAUUGAACAAAAAAUCGGGCAAAGAGAACGAGGAAAAAUAGGAUAAACCGAAGGAAUUGAAGAAAAGAAAGAACAAAAAAUAAUGAUUGGUUGGGGGUGAGAAAAACCAACCAAACCAACCAACGAAAGUACGAAUAUAGAGAAAAAACAAAAAAUUGAAAAUUGUUUUUGUGAUUUCAUAUUUCCAUUGGCGUUUCAUCGUUUUUGCUGAAAGUCACUUCCAUCGCCUAGCCAUCCAAGUACAAUAGACACAUUUCAAAACUCGAGUCAACCAAGAGCAGCAACAACGAUACUAAAAUCAACAAAUACAGGGUGAGUGAGCGCCAAUCGACGAAUCGCCAAACGGGCGAGCAACAAAAGCAAGAGGAGAGGAGAUUAAACGCCGCCGGAAUCAUCAACGUAGAUCCAGCGGUUGUUUUCCCUCCACCGCACAGCGGUUUUUUGAAAGCAGCAGCAGCUCCCAACAUCAUUGACACAUCACAUCUCCCCUCACCAUCUAGACCAUCUAGAAGCAAGCGGCAGCAGCCAGCAACAGCAACAAUAUAACCAACAAACAUGUAUGGCAAAUCUAAAACCUCAUCGGUGCCUUCAGAUGCUCAGGCCCGUGAAAAAUUAGCUCUGUACGUGUACGAAUACCUGCUACAUGUCGGAGCGCAAAAAGCAGCACAAACGUUCCUCUCCGAGAUACGAUGGGAGAAGAACAUCACACUGGGCGAACCACCGGGUUUUCUGCACACAUGGUGGUGCGUAUUCUGGGAUCUGUACUGCGCCGCCCCCGAAAGACGUGAUCAGUGCGAUCACUCGUCAGAGGCCAAAGCCUUCCACGAUUAUGGAUUUGUCAGUUCGGGUUAUGGUGUAAACGGAAUCGGCCCUGGUGGUCCACACAGUGCUGGCGGUCCAGCACCCAGUCCUCUAGGUCAAAUGCCUCCCGGCAGCGAUGGUCCCAUGGGGCCGGGUGGUCCAAUGGGAGCGAAUUUCUUUCCCAGUUCAACGAUGAGACCUUCACCGCCCACACACGCCUCAAGUCCACAGCCGCCACCAUCACAAAUGAUGCCGGGUCAACCGCCAUUUAUGGGCGGUCCACGGUAUCCUGGCGGACCCAGACCAGGUGUGCGCAUGCAAGGCAUGGGUAAUGAGUUUAACGGACCACCUGGCCAGCCCAUGAUGCCUAAUAGCAUGGAUCCCACGCGGCCGGGUGGUAUGGGUCCAAUGAAUCCUCGCAUGAAUCCUCCACGGGGACCCGGUGGUAUGGGUCCCAUGGGUUAUGGCGGUCCGGGAGGAAUGAGAGGUCCAGCGCCUGGUCCGGGUGGCAUGCCACCCAUGGGUAUGGGAGCGGGCGGCCGACCACCUCAAUGGCAACCGAAUGCGACAGCGCCCAUGAAUGCGUAUUCAUCGUCAUCACCGGGCAACUAUGGUCCCGGUCCAGGCUCAAAUGGUCCUCCGGGACCGGGUACACCCAUAAUGCCAUCACCACAAGAUAACACACAGGCCGGCCCCGGUGGUCCUGGCGACAACAUGUAUUCACUAAUGAAACCAGAAUUUCCCAUGGGCGGAGGGCCUGACGGCGGCGGCGGGGGUCCCGGCGGCAUGGGUCCCAUGGGUGGCGGUCCGAAUUCUAUGGGUCCUGUACUUAAUGGGGGAGCGGGCGACGGCACCGGUCUUGAUGGUAUGAAGAACUCACCAGCCAACGGAGGACCCGGCACGCCUCGAGAAGACUCGGGCAGUGGUAUGGGUGACUAUAAUCUCGGCGGCUUUGGUGGACCUGGGGAGAAUGAUCAAACAGAAUCGGCGGCUAUAUUAAAAAUCAAAGAGAGUAUGCACGAAGAAGCGAAAAGAUUUGAGAAAGAUACAGAAAAUAACGACUAUUUCAUGCAAUAACCGCCCGAACAAACCAACCUCGUACAACCGCAACAGCCACAAACAACAGCAGCAGUAGCAGCAGCAGCAACAGAUAUUGAUGAAAAGAUGAACAAUAGUAACAAUUCCUCUUCCUCCACCACCUCGGCGGCCAUAAUCAAUUCCAGUUCCAGUAGCAGCACCACAGCAAACGGCAGCAACAAAAUAUGCAGCAGCAAUACCGGCCAUCAUCAUCAGCAACAACAAUAUCCGGCUGAAAUGACUGGGGAAUCACAAACAGCGGCAGCAGCAGCAUCAGCAGCACUGGCAUCUUCUUCAGCUGCCCAUAGCAGUUCCAGUACCGCCGAUGAAGAUGAGACCAGUGCAUUACUGGCGGUAGCAAUGAUGAACAGUGUCAAAGAGGGUCUGGGUUCUGCCAUGCUUCAACAUUUGUGGUCCUCAAUGGCUGCAGUUUCCAAGCAACCGUAGACGCGCCGAGGGGGGUGGUGGUGGCCAGAAGCGGAGCUGAGGAUGAGGGAGAGAGAGCUGAGUUAAGGAACGCGCGCUCCACGCUCGGCAUCCAACAACAUCUCCUGUAAAAAACGACUUAAGAUUUCGAAUUGUGAAUGCGCGUCUUGCCAUGAUAGAUGAAUGAAUGACUCGAAGAAGGAAUGAAUGAAUGUCUGUAUGCGUGCCGCGCAAACGCCGCCACCGCCUGCAAUUCGAAUGGCUUUUGUUGGUGGCAACGCAUCCCCACCCACCCCACUUCUAAAGCAGCCAGCCGCACAAUAUAUUCAAGGAAACCAGAAGAAAACAGCAGGAUGACAGGAGGAUGAAUGUAAACCUAUGGUAGUGUGGAAGCAUUAACAGCUAAAACAACAACAAACAAACAAAUAAGUCAACCAUUACAACAACAACAACAAUUUACUGGUAAAUGGCAUUAAGAGAUAAAUUAAUUUUUUUAUUUUUAUUUUAAAAAUUAUUUUUAGUUUUUGUAAAUUUAAAUUAAAACAAAUCAACAAAAAAAAAAAAACCGAAACAACAACAACAAAAACAAUUAUUAUUAUUAAAUGAUAUAUACAUAUAAAAAAAUACAAUACAAAACUAUAAACAAAUGAUGGUAAAUUCCCUCAGAUGAUGAUAAUGAUGAUGAAAAAGAAAACAAAAAAGAAAUUUAAAUAAAUUAUUUUCAAAAAAAAAAGAAAAGAAAAAUUGAAUUCCAAUUUAAAACUGUCCCCCGAAGAACAAAAAAACCUUUUGGUUGCAAAACCAAACCAUCCCCGACAUUCUUUUGGGAAAUCCAAACUUUGACUGUAUCCUUCCUUUUGCGUCGAUCUAAUUAAAGCCAUGUAAAUAAUAAGGGAUAAAAUUAUAAAAAAAAAGCAACUGUUGGAUUUGAAGGCCUCUUCAAGGGGUCUUCUAUUCGUAGAAAUUCUUGUGAUCAAUAGAAAAAUAAUGGUCUGCUUAAGGGGUCGCCAGGGUAUUAUAGGUUUUUGCUCUUGAUAGGUUUUCUAUAGAUCGGAAAGGAAGACUUUGUGGACAUUGUGAAAGAUGUUGAGUUGAAUGGCCAGAAAGCAGAUGGUGUCUUAGACUCCCAGAAAGAAUUUCUUUUCAGAGGACGACAGAAAUUCCAAAAUGAAGUGCAGGGCCAGCAUAAUUUCGGAAUUUUAGAGUCAUUUUUAUAACCCGAUAUAUAAAUUAUUUCAUUUUAAAUUUAGACUUUAAAGUCCUUGUGUGGAAACAUUUCCUGCAAGUUAGGAGCCUUCAUCAUUGGAAAGUAAGACAUUGAGGUCUGCUUAGGGUUUUUGUUUUUGAUAUGUUUUUGUUUUAUAAAUCGGAAAGGAAGAAUUUAUAGCCCGAUCCAGAUGAAAUUUUGCACAAAUUGAAAUUGGAGAUAAUCGGUCAAAAUUUAGAUAUAGCUCUCAUACAUAUCUUUGUCCGAUUUCCAUUUUAUGGUGCACCAAGCGUGUAAUAUUUGUCCAAAUGGGAUGGAUUUUGGCGCACACGGCAAAAUUAAGCUUGGAAAUAAGUAUGCCAAAUUUGAUCGAUAUCGGUUCAGAUAUAGCAAUAACUCCCAUAUAUAUUGUUUAGCCGAUUUGUUAUUUUUGUCCUCCGCAGCCGUAAUAUGCACUCUGUAACAACAAUAUAUGGGAUAAUAUCUUAAAUACAGUUCAGAAACACAUUUGCCAAAUUUUAUCGAGAUCGGUUCAUAUUUGGAUAUAACUCCCAUAUAUAUCUUCGUCCGAUUUGCCUUUUAUUGUGCACCAAACUUGAAAUAUUUGCCCAAAUGGGAUGGAAUUUGGAACUUACGUCCAAAUUGAGCCUACAAACAGUAUGUCAAAAUUUGUGAUAAUCGGUUCAGACAUAGCUAUAGCUCCCAUAUAUAUUGUUCAUCCUAUUUGUUGUUUUUGUCCUUCACAGCCGUAAUAUGCACUCCGAAACAAAGAUAUUCGUGGAAAUAUAUCAACUACAGUUCAGAAACACCUUUACAAAAUUUUAUCGAGAUCGGUUCAUAUUUGGAUAUAGCUCCCAUAUAUAUCUUCGUUCGAUUUGCCUUUUAUUGUGUUAUUUCCUUUGUUCCUUUGGACUUUAAGACUUUUUUUACUGGUUAUUUAAAAAAGGUAAUUUAAUAAAGAAAAAUAUUUGGACAAUCUGAAGCUAGUUCUUGCCAAGAAUUUUGUUAAAUGUCCGGAAUCUAAUAUCUUUAUGUGGCGACCCUUUUCAACCUAACCUAAUUCCAGGCUUUUUGAAGCUGUAAAAAUGGAAAUGAUGCAGUUUAGUUUGGGUUUCCAGGAGGAAGUUUUUGGUUAACAAAAUUCCAAAUGGAUGGCUAAGUUUUUUUUUUGAACCCCCCGUCAACAAAAAGUAAAUGGACCAUUUAGAAAAAAAUAGCAUAGACUACAAAAAAAACUACGAAACUAAUUUAUUUUUUGAAAUCUAACUUGCCCCACCCCCCUUGUCUACCUACUGUUACUUAGAAAAGGCCCCCGUUCCCGACCCAAACAAACAAACAAACCAUGGAAAAUAAAAGCAGUAAAAUCACUUAAAAGUAUUAAAAGGAUCAUCUUUUUUUUGUACAGUUUCUAAAAUUAAAUAACUAUGAGGAUCUAAAUAAAUUAAAAAAAAAAAAAAAAAACAAAAACAAAAUUCUCAACUAUUAAUUGAAUUGAAUUAAUUAAGUAUAUUGUAUUAUAAUAACAAAUCUAUGAUAAAAAAAAACAACUCGUUUAUUCCCUCUAUCUCUCCCAAAAACAUGAUCCCCCAACUCUCUCUCACUCUCUCUCUUUCCUAAACUCAUAAUUUGUAUUUGUUUCCUUUUUUCUUUAGAUUUAAAAGCUAAAACUGUUUCACACAUACACACACACACACCCUAUUGUAUAAAAUUAUUAAAACAAACAGAAAAAGUAGAUCCAGAGAAAAAAAAAACAAUUCUUAAUAAUAUACUAUAGGUACUUAUAUAAAUUAAAUUAAAUGAAAACAAAAAUAUACUUAAAAAAAAUACAAAAAUAAAAUAAUAAAACUCUUCUUGGCUUUCAUGAUGUAUUCAUUAAGGAUUUGUAGUAAAGAUUAUUAUUAUUACUAUUAUUCAAAGCAAAACAACAAAGCAGCAGAAAAAGAAAUAUAUAAAAAAAUUUGUAAUAUAAACAAAAACAAAUUCGUAUACAUUUAUAUAUUUUUAAAUAUUUUAAUUUUUUAUUUUUCUUGUCAAUGACAGUUUUACAUAUAUUUUUAUAUAUAUAUAUAUACAAUAUUCGAUAUUAAAUAUCUUUGAUUUAUAUUUAAAAAAAAAAAACAUUUUUGUUUUUUGGUUUUGAUUUCCUAAUUUGGUUGUUUUUUUAUUUCAUAAUUGGCUCUUUGUAGAAGGCGGUGUGUAGUUUCAAUAUUUAUUUUUUGAAGUGUGUUUUUUAUACCCUACCCCAUACUGCGGUCAGCAGGGUAUUAUGUCUUGGGUGGGGCGAAUAUUUUCGCGAUAAUAUUCUUCAUUUAUUCUGAUGUCACGGUCGAUUAAUACGAGCAAAGAGCCACCAUCGGCUGUUAUGGCAGCGCAUACCAUCACCAUGGCCGGCCCUUGAGUUCUGGUGGCCAACCGAAGGUGCACAUUUUCAGCUGACCUCUUUGCCAAGUAAACACGAUCAUUUUGUUUGUUUACAAACUGCUGGACAACGAAUGUUUUCUCAUCGAAGAAACCUAAAUUAGGCAGUUCACCACUUUCAACUAAGCGAAGCAACUCUUUAGCUCCUUUGAGUCUAUUUUCUUUCAGUUGCGGUGUAAGUUCUUGCACUUUUUGGUUUUACCCCGAGCUCAUUUUUCAAUAUUUGCGGAAUGGAUUGCGAUGAUAUGUUCAGCUCUGACAGAAACUGGCUCUGAUGAGUUCAAAAAUUUAUUUCGAACAUUGUGGAAUAUAAAUGUCAUAUAUUUUUUAUAUUGGAACAAGGAAAUAAAAAGGAAGGGCUGAAAACUAAAAUAUUAAAUAAAAUCUUCAAAUGUCAUUAAGUGAGAGGGUAUCGGUAUAUGGCGACGAUGCUUUAACGUGGACCUAACAUCAAAAUGUGUUGGUUACUUUAUUUUUUAGUCAUUAUGAAGCUUCGCUAAAACGAAUCAGAUCGAUUAGUUUUACGGAAACAUUUUUGUCACACCUUCCCAAACAUAUGGAACCACUGUGGUGCUAAAAAUUUCGGUUCCAUUCUCAAUUAUGUCAUAAUGGUUUCCAUUGAUUACAGAAACCAUAAAACUAUUGAUCAUAGCUUUUGGAAUGCUGUGUAAGUAUAAAGGUGAGAAUACAUAAAUGUUUUUUUGACUGGCUUAAGUCGUCGAAUAACUUCUUGGGAAAAGAAUAAAGGAGCGUAGGUCCAAAAUGGAACUAAGUUAACGUAAAAUUCCUUUGGAAAAGGAUAAAGGAGCGUAGGGCCAAAAUGGAACUAAGUCAACGUACGAAGAAGUCAACUCUACGUAGAAGCUAGCCGAUGACUUAAGCCAGUCAGAAAAUCGUUUUAUGUAUUCGCAUCUUAAGCUAUUGCUAAAUUUUGGUGUAUAGUUAAAAAAUUCCAAAUUUCUUGUAAUAAAAUAUAUAUUUUUGAGACUUUUCCGAUUAACUAUUUCUAGCACCUUAAAAAACGCCACUCACACACACACACAAAAACUUGAAGUUUGGGAAGUCUCUAUUGAAAUAAAUGCAGGCCUGCUUGCUACGUUUUCUAUUGGUGUGAACAGGAAUACCUUUUCCGCCAUAACUUCCACAUCCUAAGCACCUUAGAAGAUAUGCAGUUUUUGGUUAUUUGUUAAAAUUUUAGUUUUAAAAAUCCACUUUUUUCUUUUUUUUUGUGUUGAAACAUAUUAAAAAUAUUUUUUUUUAUUUUGCCUGGACUCAAUCAAUGAGAAUUAUGCUCUGUUCAAGAACCUGCAAGAAUCUACUAUUUUUGCAAUUUUUUUUUCGAUAUCAUAAAGGGAAAAUCGGUUAUCGUAGUAAGCUUUACAUUCUUGCUUUACAGUUCUGGAACAGACCAUUAACUUUGAGGUUUUGUUUCCUUUUUUAUUGAAAUCAUGGCAGACAAUUCUUGCAUUGUUCCACAACUUGAAAAAAUCUACUAGUUGUGUUUGUUUAAGGCUUUUUGAUGUUAUAGACUUUUGCAGGAAGUCGACUAUUUAUAUCUUUUAUGAACUAUGAAAUGAAGACUUUUCUGAAACCAAAACCAAGUAGCAGCCCUUAUAGAUAACCCAAAAAUUUAUGAAAGAUAUUUGGUCUGUUCCAAUGCCUGCAAGAAUCUACUAGUUGUGCAAUUUUCUUCGAUAUCAUGAAGGGAAAAUCGGUUAUCAUAGUAAAAACGUUUACAUUUACAUUUUUGCGGUUCUGGAACAGACCAAUUUUUUCGUUUUUUUUUAUACCCUCCACCUUGACGUAGAACUUCAAAAUUUGGCACAACACUUUGUAUUGUGUCUACGAUGGUUGGUAUUGGUAUAGCCGCCAUAUAACGGUACCUCACGAUAUUCGGUAUUUUGAUGAUUUUAGAAACAUUUUUACAGGGAUUUGUCCAAAAAAUUGGUAUUUGUAGCUCAUAAUGGGUUCUAGUUCUGGUGGCGAUAUAUUAUGUACAUAGGUCCACGUUUUGGUAUAGCCGCCGUAUUAUGGUACCUCCCGAUAUUCGGUAUUUUGAUGAUUUUCGCCAUAUUUUUCACGAAUUUGUCUAAAAAUUGGUAUUUGUAGUUCAUAAUGGGUUCUAGUUCCGGUGGCAGAACAUUGUAUGUAUAGGUCCACCUUGCUGUAUAUCCCCCAUAUAACGAUACCCAUCGAAAUUCGGUAUAAUCGCAGUCACAUUUACCCACGAAAUUGUUUCAAAUUUGGUUUUUAAGAGGAUUUGGUAGAUGACACUCCUUGAAGUAUUAAAUAUAUCGUUUUGUUAUGGCCUCCAAAUAUCGGCCUCACCCACCUUUGUGGUAUUUUGAAAAGUUUAACAGCACUGCUUGCUCUGUUCCAGAUUCUGGAACAUUUAAGUGAUUAUUUUAGGGUUCUGAAUGUAAUGGACUUCUCCAGGAAAUCGAUUAUUAACAGCUCUUAUUACUUACUACUAAUGGGGAAGCCAAAAAUCAAGUAGCAGACUUUAAAGACCAGCCAAAAAAAAAACUUGAAAGAUAUUUUUAAGGGCUUUUUUUUGUUUAUUUUUUGUAUAGCUUUAAAAGUUUUUACUACGAUAUCCGAUGAUCGAUUCUAGUAGAUUAUUGCAGGUUCUGAACUGGACCAAUUGUUUUAAUAGUACAUUUUACCACAGAAAACUUUAAAAAACUAAUUUUCAAAUUCGAAAAAAUUAUAUAGCUAAACAGUACGUUUACAUAUAAAUGGGUUAAUCAACUGGAUUUGGAUUAUAAUUGUCGUAUCCAUUAUUUAUACUUCAAAUAAAUCCUCUUAAAGUAGGUUAACCCUACAAAAAGGCCAAACGUAUACAUGGCAUAAGACUUGUUUGUAAUAAUGUCCACUGGGAAGGAUAUCUCCAUCCAAUAUAUUUUUCUGAUUAAAUUAUGCUGCCCACCAUCUUGACGGCUGUCUGCAAUUGUUCUUUUUCUUCCUUUGUAUUAUAUUGUUGUUCCUUUUGUUGUGAAUUAGUGUUUUCACAAAAAAUGAAAAUUCCUUUUUUUUUGAUCACAAAAAUAUGUUCCGGCAUCCUAACCCCAAAAAAGAGAUGGCCUUGUAUUUCCUUAAUUAUAUUUUAAAUAGAAUUUUUUUAAAUAGAUAUCUACAUUAAAACAACUAUUGUAAUAAACUUUUUAUGGUCUUCAUUGUAUACACAAAACUAUGGCAAAUAUUUAUAUAUAUAAAAUAAAAAAAAUUAAAAUAAAAAAGAAAAUAAACAAAAUAAUUAUUAAUUAUGAAAUUAUUGUACAAAAGUUUAUAUAUAUAUAUAUAGUUAUAUUAAAUUAUGGUAAUGAAAAAAAAUUUAAAAAUGAAAAAUAAGUAACGUAAAAUAAACCUACUAUAUAUUAAAUACUUAUAUAUUAGAAACGUAAAGCAUUUUUACUUAAUUUUUAUUAUUAUUUACAAAAAAAACAAGAAAAAUAAACAAAAAGAAAUAAACAAAAUAAUGUACACAUAUACAUAUAUAAAUAAACCAAUAUAUUUUAAUAUUAAAUAUUAAAAAAACAAAAAACAAAGUAAAAUAAUAAAAAUUAUAUUGCGUUUUAGAAUAACGUUUUUUAUUAUUAUUAUUUAUAAAGUCCUGUUUUUUAGUUUGUAAUUAUACUAGCAAAGCAAAGCGUUUACAUUUUUUAAAUGUUUAUAUACAUAUAUAUAUAUUUUUUAGUUCCCAUUAAAAAUGAAUUUACAUUUUUUUUAAACAAGAACGUUUUAAAUCAAAAAAAAAAAACUAUAAUUUUACAACAAAAAGCAUAUACAUAUUAAAACAAAAAAAAAAACACAAAAUGUGGGAAACCCUAAACUAAUUACUAAAGCAUAAUUACAAUAAUCUGUAAUGGGAAUUUUUGCUAAAAAAAGAUAAAUUAUUUAUAAAAAUAAAAUAAAGAAAAUUAAAAAAAAUCAAACAAAAAAAUUGUAAAAUUUUUUUCAAAACCAAUAAAAAAAACUUAGCAUCCAAACCGAAAAAAUAACAUCUUAAUUAGCCACUAAGACCUAAAAAAUCAUAUACGGAAAAAACUAUUAAUUUAAUAAUUGCAAAAUGGAGGUGUUUAAAUAAGUAUUUUAGUGUUAAUUAUUAAAAAAAAGUAAAUAAAUAAAAUAAAAAUCGUACACACAAAAAAAACCGAAUAUAAAUAAAUUACCACCCCAAGAAGAAGUUAAUCCCAGGCCGAAGAACAUAAAAAUAACCACACAUAAGUGAAAUAACAACAAAAACAAAAAAAUCUGUAACAGAGACCCACAUUACAACAAAAUAAAUAAAUAAACAAAAAAAUAA